Phacochoerus africanus (Common warthog) is the source of this 440-nucleotide long non-coding RNA. RefSeq lists it as uncharacterized. NCBI's taxonomy places the organism in Eukaryota, Metazoa, Chordata, Mammalia, Artiodactyla, Suidae. The record is from RefSeq and is a predicted model, not a curated record. The transcript is spliced from 2 exons.
AUAGUUGUUUUGAUCUCCUUCUGUUAAUUUCUCAGGCAACCCUGAGAAGGCUCCUCUGUUUUUCUUCACACUUUUUUUUUUUCCCAAAUAAAUGAAUCUGAAGGAGAACUCUUAUAAUUUCUAAUUCUUUUUUUCUGAUGAGUUUUGACUUUGGCAUUGGUUUGCAGCAGCCUCCUUUCUUCUGUCAAGUGCUCCUUUUCUGGGAAUGUGAACAUCUUUGCAGGAGCAGAUGAAUUCUUUGCCUCCUUUGCUCUUUCUCCUCACUCUCCCUCAUCUCUUCAGAUGGAUUCAUUUGAAGAUGAGGCCCUAGGGGAAGACUGAACCACAAGAUGGAAGAGGACUAGUUCCUUGAAUUACAGUAUGGAGGAAAGCUGCCCACCAACUGGGAACUCUUACUGUAGGUGGUUAAAUGAAUGAUAAAUAAAGCUCUAUUACAUUAA